AGUCACUGACAUUAGAUACCCGUGUAGUCCCAGCCGUAAACUAUGCGCGUUAGGUGUACUGGUGACCACGAGUCACCGGGGUGCCGAAGGGAAACCGCGAAACGUGCCGCCUGGGAAGUACGGUCGCAAGGCUGAAACUUAAAGGAAUUGGCGGGGGAGCACCGCAACGGGAGGAGCGUGCGGUUUAAUUGGAUUCAACACCGGAAAACUCACCAAGGGCGACUGUUACAUGAAAGCCAGGCUAAUGACCUUGCUUGAUUUUCAG
Molecule: ribosomal RNA, 265 nt
Filed under: uncultured archaeon
Lineage: Archaea
Description: partial 16S ribosomal RNA
Rfam family: Archaeal small subunit ribosomal RNA
Source: RNAcentral